UGAGAAUCUACAAGAAUAAGAAAAAAUGGACCAGCAAAAUCUCAACAAAGCUCCCGAAGAAAGUGAAGCCAUUUCGGUAAUGCGGAUAAUGGAGAACCAGGCCCAACUUCAAAUGAAGAUGAUGGAGUUGCUAGCCAACAUGUUUAGUUUAAGGAACGACACCGACCACGUGGUGACCGCAUAAUUAUCGUUAGCCCAGUUUGACCCCGACGAUACAUCCUUUUCAACCAAGGAGUGGAGUGAGGAAGUUGAUCAAAUUAAAUUCGUAAACAGGUACGUCUGAUACUGUUGUGGGCAAGCCCUGAAAGGCCGUGCAGCCAAAAUUUAUCAAAAUUGGAAACCGAUAGUUAGAAAUUGGUCAACAUUUUCUAGGAAUUUAGAGAUAGCGUUCCCUGAGAAAGGAACUCAGGCCACGAGGCUUAAAGCUAGCAUGUUGAUAAGUAGUGCAAAUUUUAGUUCGUUAGUAGAGUAUGCUCAUGCCAAGUUGAAUUUGAUCAGGAAACUUUGUGAAAAGUUUCCGUGGGAAAUAGUGUUGAGCUUGAUAGCACAUGAUAUCACAAAUGUAGAAGUUUAGAAUAGAUUAUUAGUGCAAGAAUCUAAGAAUGAAAUGCAGCAGCUGAAAUUGCCUUCUUCAUAGGAUUUCGACGCUCCAUAUUAGUGGAUAAUAGUAGAAAACUAGAAAAAUGAAGCAGCUACUGAAAACAGAAUCAGACAAAACCUUUCAUGGGAAUUGUAGGAACUGUGGAAAAUUUAGGCAUAGAAAGUUAGAUUAUUGUAAAGAAACGUUGUUUUAAUUCUAAUCCAGAAAAUUCCAGUCUUGAAUGUAAUUUCUGUGAUAGAAAGGGACAUACUGAAGAUUUUUAUUUUGUUAAGAAAAAGAGAGAAACAAGUUCAGUUAAACUUUAGUUACCCAUUGUUCGUAACAAUCAAUUAGCACAUUAGAUUUGAAUCUAGACUUGUCAGGAUUGGACGAGCGAUUAGUGAAGUAUUGAAUAAAUCGAAUGUUGUCAAAUAACAAAAAUAUCAAGCAUGUCGACUAACUUAGUCGAAACAUACCUAGUGGAAAUAAGAUACUGGCGCUUUGUUAUGUUUCAGGAAAAUCAAAAUCAAUUGCAAAAGUUUGAUCUGUUUUGUACGUGAAUUCUUAUGAAGAUUUACACAAGACAAGCGCUCUCAAGAAUGUAAAAUGUUCCCGUUGAGCAAUCCAGGAGUAUAGUAUAACGCUGGCAGGUGACAUCUAUCGAAUGAAGAAAAACUGAAGCCAACAUUUAUUGGACCUUUCGAAGUGCAAGCAGUCCUACCAAACGAUCUAUAUGCCUUGAGAAGAGUAGGAGUCCAGAAUAGAACCAAUGAGAUCUUGGCCUAAA
Molecule: long non-coding RNA, 1367 nt
Organism: Coccinella septempunctata (seven-spotted ladybird)
Lineage: Eukaryota; Metazoa; Arthropoda; Insecta; Coleoptera; Coccinellidae
Exons: 2
Source: RefSeq, a predicted model, not a curated record